CGUGCAGGCGGCUUGGCAAGCGGGAUGUGAAAGCCCCGGGCUCAACCCGGGAUGUGCAUUCCGAACUGCUUGGCUUGAGUCCGGAAGAGGGUGGUGGAAUUCCUGGUGGAACGGUGAAAUGUGUAGAUAUCAGGAGGAACAUCGGUGGCGAAGGCGACCACCUGGUCCGGUACUGACGCUGAAGCGCGAAAGCGUGGGGAGCAAACA
RNAcentral lists this ribosomal RNA (207 nucleotides) under uncultured bacterium. Its description in RNAcentral is "partial 16S ribosomal RNA". It matches the Rfam family "Bacterial small subunit ribosomal RNA", at positions 568 to 774 of the family's 1533-position model. The record is from RNAcentral.